GACGAACGCUGGCGGCGUGCCUAAUACAUGCAAGUAGAACGCACAGUUUAUACCGUAGCUUGCUACACCAUAGACUGUGAGUUGCGAACGGGUGAGUAACGCGUAGGUAACCUGCCUGGUAGCGGGGGAUAACUAUUGGCAACGAUAGCUAAUACCGCAUAAUAUUGAUUCUUGCAUGAUAAUUGAUUGAACGAUGCUAUUGCAUCACUACCAGAUGGACCUGCGUUGUAUUAGCUAGUAGGUGAGGUAACGGCUCACCUAUGCGACGAUACAUAGCCGACCUGAGAAGGUGAACGGCCACACUGGGACUGAGACAAGGCCCAGACUCCUACGGGAGGCAGCAGUAGGGAAUCUUCGGAAAUGGACGAAAGUCUGACCGAGCAACGCCGCGUGAGGGAAGAAGGUUUUCGGAUCGUAAAGCUCUGUUGUAAGAGAAGAACGGGUGUGAGAGUGGAAAGUUCACACUGUGACGGUAUCUUAACAGAAAGGGACGGCUAACUACGUG
RNAcentral lists this ribosomal RNA (505 nucleotides) under uncultured bacterium. RNAcentral describes it as "partial 16S ribosomal RNA". It matches the Rfam family "Bacterial small subunit ribosomal RNA", at positions 28 to 507 of the family's 1533-position model. The record is from RNAcentral.